Molecule: non-coding RNA, 800 nt
Filed under: Anagonalia melichari
Lineage: Eukaryota; Metazoa; Arthropoda; Insecta; Hemiptera; Cicadellidae
Source: RNAcentral
AAAAAUAAGUAAUAUUUAAUAAUUUAAGAUUUUAUUAUUUUGCCAUUAUUCUUUAUAUUGAAUAUUUUUAAAGUUUAAUUCUAGCUUUUAUAUUAAUUUUUUAAAUUAAUUAUAUGUAUUUUUUUUAAAAAUUAUUUUACAGUAAUUUAUUUUAUUAUUAAAUUUUAUAAUUUUAUAGAUAUUUAAUAAAUAUAGAUUAAUAUUGUGCCAGCAUUCGCGGUUAUACAAUUAUAUUUAAAUUAAUAUUUUUAAAUUUGUAUAUAUUUGUGUUAAUGAAUUUUUUUUUAUAAUAUUUAGGUGGAAUUUAUAUUUUAAUAAAAUUUCUUAUAAUUAGUUUAUAUUAAUUCUAUAAUUUUAAACUAGGAUUAGAUACCCUAUUAUAUUUGAUGUAAAUUUUUUUUAAUUAUUAAUAGUUAUGUUCUAUAAAAAUUAAAGAAUUUGGCGGUAAUUUUACUUUAUAGAGGAACCUGUAUAUUAAUUGAUAAACCACAAUAGUUUAUACCUUAAAUUUAUUUGUAUAUCGCUAUAUUUUGGAAUUUUUUAUAAGAAAAUUUCUUUAAUUUUGAAAUUUUAUAUUAGGUCAAGGUGCAGUUUUUUUUAGGUUUAUAUGGGUUACAAUAUUUUUAUUUUUUUAUUGAAUAAAUUGUUUAUUAUAUCAUUUUGAAAUAGGAUUUAUAAGUAAUUUAAAUAAAUUAUUUUUUUUGAAUUUAGUUUCAAAUUAUGUACAUAUCGCCCGUCGCUCUCAAUUAUAUGAGAUAAGUCGUAACAAAGUAGUUGUACCGGAAGGUGUAUCUAGAAUU